CUGUGGUGGAAAUUGUUAAUAAUAUACAACAUCAUGGUACAAAUGAAUUGUUCUCAACCACCUGCAAUUUGUUAUCAUGUCAUCUCAUUCGUUGUUAAUCUCAUUUAUUGAUGAUCUCUUUCAGUUUUAUUUUCUCCUGUCAAUUUGCAGUACAUCAUUAGUUUGUUUUUCAUUAUAUUAUUGCCUCAGUUGUUUUCUUAAGUCUCUCAAUGAUGAUUCAUCAAGCAUUGCAAAAAUGUUUGAUCAUUUGUUUUUUGUUUUGUAUCUUGAAUCUUAAGUUACCCGUUGGUAAAAUCAGACAAUGUUGGCCGCUUAAACGAUGAUGAACAAUAUCGCUGAUGACGGUAGAUUUUGAUGAUGGAUGUAAGUACACUUUUGCCAUAGACCAGAGGAGGAGAUCAAAGAGUGGAUGCUUGUUCGGUUCUACAUGGAAUAGCAAGAAAUCGUAUAAGCUGGACAUGCAUUUCCUAACUCACCACAAUAUUGGGUACUAAGCUGUGAUAAGGCAAGCCAGAGAUCUCAGGAAAUGCUACCCAUUGAUUCAAGACAAUUUGGUGGGAGAUGUACACGAUUGAUCAAGAAAAGAAAAGAGGUUCUGGAGUGAGCUACAACGGGUUGCCCAAAUACUUUUGCGUUCCUCAUUGUGCCGUAGUUCUCCUCAUUCUCGUCCAUCAUGAUGUGGAUCUAUCUUUUUCUUGCCCGAGAUUUCUUUGUUUUCCUCUUUGUUUUUCUGCUUUCCUGUUUGGUGCCCGUUGUCGCUGGAACCAGGCUGCUUUUGCAUGGGGAGGAAGAAGAAGGGGGGAGAUGGUGACGUGGAGGCAACUGGUGGACCAGGCCAACGAAAAUAGAAGGCCUAGUUUCCUGUUUUUUGUGAAAUCCUCAACAAAGGCUGAUGUAUAAAUAAUGAGCUACUCCUUUUUCAGUUAUUAUGUACAAGAGCCCAGUUUUAAAACGGCAGAUGUAUAAAA
Molecule: long non-coding RNA, 968 nt
Organism: Lolium perenne
Lineage: Eukaryota; Viridiplantae; Streptophyta; Magnoliopsida; Poales; Poaceae
Source: RefSeq, a predicted model, not a curated record